CACGUGGGUAAUCUGCCCUGCACUUCGGGAUAAGCCUGGGAAACUGGGUCUAAUACCGGAUAUGAACUCCUGCCGCAUGGUGGGGGUUGGAAAGUUUUUCGGUGCAGGAUGAGCCCGCGGCCUAUCAGCUUGUUGGUGGGGUAAUGGCCUACCAAGGCGACGACGGGUAGCCGGCCUGAGAGGGUGAUCGGCCACACUGGGACUGAGACACGGCCCAGACUCCUACGGGAGGCAGCAGUGGGGAAGUAUUGCACAAUGGGCGAAAGCCUGAUGCAGCGACGCCGCGUGGGGGAGUGACGG
This 300-nucleotide ribosomal RNA is filed under the name uncultured Dietzia sp. Its description in RNAcentral is "bacterial SSU rRNA". It matches the Rfam family "Bacterial small subunit ribosomal RNA", at positions 114 to 414 of the family's 1533-position model. Lineage: Bacteria; Bacillati; Actinomycetota; Actinomycetes; Mycobacteriales; Dietziaceae. The record is from RNAcentral.